UGAGGUAGAAGGAUUGCUUGAACCCAGGAAGUGGAGGCUGCAGUGAGUUGUGAUCAUGCCACUGCACUCCAGCCUGAGUGACAGAAUGAGACUC
This 94-nucleotide microRNA precursor is filed under the name Carlito syrichta (Philippine tarsier). RNAcentral describes it as "miRNA (ENSTSYG00000029775.1)". The record is from RNAcentral. Lineage: Eukaryota; Metazoa; Chordata; Mammalia; Primates; Tarsiidae.